GACGUAGGGUCCGAGCGUUGUCCGGAGUUACUGGGCGUAAAGGGCGCGUAGGCGGUUAUCCGCGUCGCACGUGAAAGCCCCCGGCUCAACCGGGGAGGGUCGUGCGAGACGGGGUAACUGGAGGCAGUGAGAGGCUGGUGGAAUUCCCGGAGUAGUGGUGAAAUGCGUAGAGAUCGGGAGGAACACCGGUGGCGAAGGCGGCCAGCUGGCACUGACCUGACGCUGAGGCGCGAAGGCGUGGGGAGCGAACGGGAUUAGAAACCCCAGUAGUCC
This 273-nucleotide ribosomal RNA is filed under the name uncultured bacterium. RNAcentral describes it as "partial 16S ribosomal RNA". It matches the Rfam family "Bacterial small subunit ribosomal RNA", at positions 524 to 796 of the family's 1533-position model. The record is from RNAcentral.